This 906-nucleotide long non-coding RNA is filed under the name Helianthus annuus (common sunflower). Its description in RNAcentral is "hypothetical non coding rna". Lineage: Eukaryota; Viridiplantae; Streptophyta; Magnoliopsida; Asterales; Asteraceae. The record is from RNAcentral.
GCGUCGGCGAUCCUCUCGCAUAUUGUGCUGAAACUCGCGUCGCAUGCUAUCAAUCCCCUGCAGGAUCUCCUGAACCUGCGGCGGCGACAUCAUAGGCGCCGGCGGAGGUGGUUGGUACUGCUGCGGCUGCGGCGGCUGGUAUUGUUGCGGUUGCGGUGGCUGCUGGUAACCCUGAGGGUAACCAAAAGUAGAUGGGCCAGCAGCCCAAGGGUCUCCAAGUGGACCACUAUGUGGGAGUGAGCUGAAGUUGGCAGCUUGCCAAUAAGGGUCUCCCGUGUAGUCGUAGCCCUGAGGAUAGAGCUGGGCGAAUGGGUCGAAUGGCGCUGAGCUGGCGAAGGCUGGAAUCGGCUCCCCGAAAUUCUGCGGCGGCAGAGGCGGGAUCGGAACAGAAGUAACCUCCGAUACGGGAUGCUGAGACUCCCCUGUCUCAGACUCCCCGGGUAGAGACGUGUAGCGGCUGCUACUAACACGUGGAGGGGUGCCUAUGCGAAUCCCUCCGCGCGUAGACAUGCGCGCGUUCCUCCUAGGCCUCUGAGGCGGAGGAGGUAAGACUGGUGGCGGCGGUGGUGACGGGGUGAUCACGUCACGCCACAGGGCCUCAGAUAGGUCCUGCGGUAGAGGCGGCUGCUGCUGAAGCUGCUGCGAGUGGUGCUGCGAGUGCACCGGUGAACCAUGGAGCGAUUGGAGCAUCGGAGUACCAUGGAGUGAUUGAAGCAUCAGAGAGUUGUGGCUAGGAGUGUGGUACCAAUCAUACUGCCGAAACCUCUCCUCGUAACUAUCCACACCAUUAAAUGGUGAUCCUGUGUAUGGUGACCCAUCCGAUAUCUCAAUCGGAUGGUUAGGCGUACCUGAUGGUGGUAGCGACGGGUCCGUAUCCUCGUCUACGUCCAUCUCGUGCCCUCCCGG